ACUCCUACGGGAGGCAGCAGUGGGGAAUAUUGCACAAUGGGCGCAAGCCUGAUGCAGCCAUGCCGCGUGUGUGAAGAAGGCCUUCGGGUUGUAAAGCACUUUCAGUCGUGAGGAAGGUAGUGUAGUUAAUAGCUGCAUUAUUUGUACGUUAGCGACAGAAGAAGCACCGGCUAACUCCGUGCCAGCAGCCGCGGUAAUACGGAGGGUGCGAGCGUUAAUCGGAAUUACUGGGCGUAAAGCGCAUGCAGGUGGUUUGUUAAGUCAGAUGUGAAAGCCCGGGGCGUCAACCUCGGAAUAGCAUUUGAAACUGGCAGACUAGAGUACUGUAGAGGGGGUAGAAUUUCAGGUGUAGCGGUGAAAUGCGUAGAGAUCUGAAGGAAUACCGGUGGCGAAGGCGGCCCCCUGGACAGAUACUGACACUCAGAUGCGAAAGCGUGGGAGCAAACAGGAUUAGAU
Molecule: ribosomal RNA, 456 nt
Filed under: uncultured bacterium
Lineage: Bacteria
Description: bacterial SSU rRNA
Rfam family: Bacterial small subunit ribosomal RNA
Source: RNAcentral